GACGGAUGGCCGCUCUCGUGAAAACGAGGGAGGAAAGUCCGGGCACCGCAAGGCAGGAUGCUGGAUAACGUCCAGGCGUAGAAAUACGACGGAUAGCGCAGCAGAAAACAUACCGCCUCGCAAGAGGUAAGGGUGAAAAGGCGAGGCAAGAGCUCACCGCGUUUCUGGUGACAGGAACGGCACGGCAAGCCCCAUCCGGUGCAAGACCAAGCAGAGUUCCGCACUUUUCGGAGUGCCUGGGUAGCCUUUUCCAGCCGGAAUUCGGGUAGGUUGCUUGAGGCCGCUAGUAAUAGCGGAUCCAGAUAGAUGGUCAUCGCCGACCUCUGGCCGGCACAAAACCCGGCUUAUAGUCGUCCCU
This 358-nucleotide RNase P RNA is filed under the name uncultured Fibrobacter sp. RNAcentral describes it as "Bacterial RNase P class A". It matches the Rfam family "Bacterial RNase P class A". From Rfam's summary of the family: Ribonuclease P (RNase P) is a ubiquitous endoribonuclease, found in archaea, bacteria and eukarya as well as chloroplasts and mitochondria. Its best characterised activity is the generation of mature 5'-ends of tRNAs by cleaving the 5'-leader elements of precursor-tRNAs. Lineage: Bacteria; Pseudomonadati; Fibrobacterota; Fibrobacteria; Fibrobacterales; Fibrobacteraceae. The record is from RNAcentral.